RNAcentral lists this ribosomal RNA (253 nucleotides) under uncultured bacterium. RNAcentral describes it as "partial 16S ribosomal RNA". It matches the Rfam family "Bacterial small subunit ribosomal RNA", at positions 524 to 776 of the family's 1533-position model. The record is from RNAcentral. RNAcentral also lists the same sequence under 1 other name.
UACGUAGGGUGCGAGCGUUGUCCGGAAUUACUGGGCGUAAAGAGCUCGUAGGUGGUUUGUCGCGUUGUUCGUGAAAACUCACAGCUCAACUGUGGGCGUGCGGGCGAUACGGGCAGACUGGAGUACUGCAGGGGAGACUGGAAUUCCUGGUGUAGCGGUGGAAUGCGCAGAUAUCAGGAGGAACACCGGUGGCGAAGGCGGGUCUCUGGGCAGUAACUGACGCUGAGGAGCGAAAGCGUGGGGAGCGAACAGG